UACGAAGGGGGCUAGCGUUGUUCGGAAUUACUGGGCGUAAAGCGCGCGCAGGUGGUCCUUCAAGUCAGGGGUGAAAGCCCAGAGCUCAACUCUGGAACUGCCUUUGAGACUGCAGGACUUGGGUACGGGAGAGGUGAGUGGAAUUCCGAGUGUAGAGGUGAAAUUCGUAGAUAUUCGGAAGAACACCAGUGGCGAAGGCGGCUCACUGGCCCGUUACCGACACUCAGGCGCGAUAGCGUGGGGAGCAAACAGG
This 253-nucleotide ribosomal RNA is filed under the name uncultured bacterium. RNAcentral describes it as "partial 16S ribosomal RNA". It matches the Rfam family "Bacterial small subunit ribosomal RNA", at positions 524 to 776 of the family's 1533-position model. The record is from RNAcentral.